CUUUAUUUAAAAUAUAUAUUGCAGCCUCGAGGGCGUAUCCCCAAAAGGAUAAUAGAAGAUCUGUGAAACACAUUAUGGACCACACCAUAUCUAAUAAGGUAUGAUUUUUUUUUCACAAUUCUAUUUAAUUAUGGAGUAUAAGGAGGUGUCUAUUGAUACCAUUUUGUUUCAAAUAAUCGAGGAACUCACUAGACAAGUAUUCUCCUCCUCGAUC
RNAcentral lists this long non-coding RNA (214 nucleotides) under Elaeis guineensis (African oil palm). RNAcentral describes it as "long non-coding RNA (EGUI_LNC044687)". The record is from RNAcentral. Lineage: Eukaryota; Viridiplantae; Streptophyta; Magnoliopsida; Arecales; Arecaceae.